AUCAGGUCCAGGAGUCUCUUAACAGGAUCAGAUGGGAGGUCAGGUCCAGGAGUCUCUUAACAGGAUCAGAUGGGAGGUCAGGUCCAGGAGUCUCUUAACAGGAUCAGAUGGGAGGUCAGGUCCAGGAGUCUCUAACAGGAUCAGAUGGGAGGUCAGGUCCAGGAGUCUCUAAUGGGAUCAAAUGAGAGGUCCCAGAGAGAUCAGGUCUAUGAGUCUCUAAAAUGAUCAGAUGGGAGGUCCCAGAGAGAUCAGGUCUAGGAGUCUCUAAAAGGAUCAGAUGGGAGAUCAGGUCCAUGAGUCUCUAACAGGAUCAGACUGGAGAUCAGGUCCAGGAGUCUCUUAACAGGAUCAGAUGGGAGGUCCCAGAGAGAUCAGGUCUAGGAGUCUUUAACAGGAUCAGACUGGAGAUCAGGUCCAGGAGUCUCUUAACAGGAUCAGAUGGGAGGUCCCAGAGAGAUCAGGUCUAGGAGUCUUUAACAGGAUCAGACUGGAGAUCAGGUCCAGGAGUCUCUUAACAGGAUCAGAUGGGAGGUCCCAGAGAGAUCAGAUCCAGGAGUCUCUAAUGGGAUCAGAUGGGAGAUCAGGUCCAGGAGUCUCUAAUGGGAUCAGAUGGGAGAUCAGGUCCAGGAGUCUCUAAUGGGAUCAGAUGGGAGAUCAGGCCCAGGAGUCUCUAAUGGGAUCAGAUGGGA
Molecule: long non-coding RNA, 689 nt
Organism: Oncorhynchus keta (chum salmon)
Lineage: Eukaryota; Metazoa; Chordata; Actinopteri; Salmoniformes; Salmonidae
Exons: 3
Source: RefSeq, a predicted model, not a curated record